GACGAACGCUGGCGGCGUGCUUAACACAUGCAAGUCGAACGGAAAGGCCCUGCUUUUGUGGGGUGCUCGAGUGGCGAACGGGUGAGUAACACGUGAGUAACCUGCCCUUGACUUUGGGAUAACUUCAGGAAACUGGGGCUAAUACCGGAUAGGAGCUCCUGCUGCAUGGUGGGGGUUGGAAAGUUUCGGCGGUUGGGGAUGGACUCGCGGCUUAUCAGCUUGUUGGUGGGGUAGUGGCUUACCAAGGCUUUGACGGGUAGCCGGCCUGAGAGGGUGACCGGCCGCAGUGGGGCUGAGAGACGGAGCAGAGGAGGCAGGGAGGCGGCAGGGGGGGAGAGUGCAGAGGGGGCGGGGGUGGGAGGCGGCAACGCCGCGUGCGGGAUGCGGGGCGUCGGGUAGGAGAAAGAUGUCGCCUGUGAAGAAGCGGGAGUGACGGGAGUGAGUAAAGAGGCACCGGCUAACUACGUG
This 468-nucleotide ribosomal RNA is filed under the name uncultured bacterium. RNAcentral describes it as "partial 16S ribosomal RNA". It matches the Rfam family "Bacterial small subunit ribosomal RNA", at positions 28 to 507 of the family's 1533-position model. The record is from RNAcentral.